GAAGGAGACUCUGGAAAGUAGAGAUCAUUGUUGAUUGGAUAAUAGAAUCACCAACUGCCCAUCAGACCGAUGCGUAUAGAGAUGCCAGUUUGGGUUCAUCCAAAGUGUCUCCUUCUCUUCGUUGUCCUCUUAAUUUUUCUCAUUUUCACUUUCAUUACUCCUAAAAAGGAUGAAGAAAAGGUUGAAGAGGUGUAUGAGAUCACCCAUAGAGU
Molecule: unclassified non-coding RNA, 212 nt
Filed under: Hevea brasiliensis (rubber tree)
Lineage: Eukaryota; Viridiplantae; Streptophyta; Magnoliopsida; Malpighiales; Euphorbiaceae
Source: RNAcentral